Galeopterus variegatus (Sunda flying lemur) is the source of this 75-nucleotide non-coding RNA. NCBI's taxonomy places the organism in Eukaryota, Metazoa, Chordata, Mammalia, Dermoptera, Cynocephalidae. The record is from the annotation of a RefSeq genome assembly.
GCCCAGUUAGCUCAGUUGGUUAGAGCAUGGUGCUCAUAACACCAAGGUCCAGGGUUAAAAUCCCUGUACUGGCCA